CUACGGGGGGCAGCAGUGGGGAAUAUUGCACAAUGGGCGCAAGCCUGAUGCAGCCAUGCCGCGUGUAUGAAGAAGGCCUUCGGGUUGUAAAGUACUUUCAGCGGGGAGGAAGGGAGUAAAGUUAAUACCUUUGCUCAUUGACGUUACCCGCAGAAGAAGCACCGGCUAACUCCGUGCCAGCAGCCGCGGUAAUACGGAGUGUGCAAGCGUUAAUCGGAAUUACUGGGCGUAAAGCGCACGCAGGCGGUUUGUUAAGUCAGAUGUGAAAUCCCCGGGCUCAACCUGGGAACUGCAUCUGAUACUGGCAAGCUUGAGUCUCGUAGAGGGGGGUAGAAUUCCAGGUGUAGCGGUGAAAUGCGUAGAGAUCUGGAGGAAUACCGGUGGCGAAGGCGGCCCCCUGGACGAAGACUGACGCUCAGGUGCGAAAGCGUGGGGAGCAAACAGGAUUAGAUACCCCUAUAGUC
Molecule: ribosomal RNA, 464 nt
Filed under: uncultured bacterium
Lineage: Bacteria
Description: partial 16S ribosomal RNA
Rfam family: Bacterial small subunit ribosomal RNA
Source: RNAcentral